AGUGAACGCUGGCGGUAGGCCUAACACAUGCAAGUCGAACGGCAGCACAGUAAGAGCUUGCUCUUACGGGUGGCGAGUGGCGGACGGGUGAGGAAUACAUCGGAAUCUACUUUUUCGUGGGGGAUAACGGAGGGAAACUUACGCUAAUACCGCAUACGACGUACGGGUGAAAGCAGGGGUUCUUCGGACCUUGCGCGACUGAAUGAGCCGAUGUCGGAUUAUCUAGUUGGCGGGGUAAAGGCCCACCAUGGCGACGAUGCGUAGCUGGCCUGAGAGGAUGAUCGGCCACACUGGAACUGAGACACGGUCCAGACUCCUACGGGAGGCAGCAGUAGGGAAUAUUGGACAAUGGGCGCAAGCCUGAUCCAGCAAUACCGCGUGGGUGAAGAAGGCCUUCGGGUUGUAAAGCCCUUUUGUUGGGAAAGAAAAGCAGCAGGUUAAUACCCCGCUGUUCUGACGGUACCCAAAGAAUAAGCACCGGCUAACUUCGUG
Molecule: ribosomal RNA, 492 nt
Filed under: uncultured bacterium
Lineage: Bacteria
Description: partial 16S ribosomal RNA
Rfam family: Bacterial small subunit ribosomal RNA
Source: RNAcentral